RNAcentral lists this transfer RNA (69 nucleotides) under Rattus norvegicus (Norway rat). It matches the Rfam family "tRNA". Rfam says of the family: Transfer RNA (tRNA) molecules are approximately 80 nucleotides in length. Their secondary structure includes four short double-helical elements and three loops (D, anti-codon, and T loops). The record is from Rfam by way of RNAcentral. Lineage: Eukaryota; Metazoa; Chordata; Mammalia; Rodentia; Muridae.
GGGGAUUUGGCUCAGUGGUAGAGCGCUUGCCUAGGAAGCGCAAGGUCCUGGGUUCGACCCCCAGCCCCG